GAUGAACGCUGGCGGCGCGCCUAACACAUGCAAGUCGAACGGCACCCACCUCCGGGUGGAAGCGAGUGGCGAACGGCUGAGUAACACGUGGAGAACCUGCCCCCUCCUCCGGGAUAGCCGCGGGAAACCGCGGGUAAUACCGGAUGACGCCCGGGAAGCGCAUGCUGCCCGGGCCAAAGCCCAGACGGGAGGGGAUGGCUCCGCGGCCCAUCAGGUAGACGGCGGGGUGACGGCCCACCGUGCCGACAACGGGUAGCCGGGUUGAGAGACCGACCGGCCAGAUUGGGACUGAGACACGGCCCAGACUCCUACGGGAGGCAGCAGUGGGGAAUCUUGCGCAAUGGGGGAAACCCUGACGCAGCGACGCCGCGUGCGGGACGAAGGCCUUCGGGUCGUAAACCGCUUUCAGCAGGGACGAGACAAGACGGUACCUGCAGA
This 438-nucleotide ribosomal RNA is filed under the name uncultured bacterium. RNAcentral's name for it is "bacterial SSU rRNA". It matches the Rfam family "Bacterial small subunit ribosomal RNA", at positions 28 to 485 of the family's 1533-position model. The record is from RNAcentral.